UCAAAAACAUGUCUUUUGAAAUAUUUAAAGUCUAAUCUGCCCACUGAUAUUAAUUAUUAAAGGGCUGCAGUAUAUUGACUGUACAAAGGUAGCAUAAUCAUUAGUCUUUUAAUUGAAGACUUGUAUGAAAGAUUUGAUGAAAUAUAAACUGUCUCUAAUUUAUUAAUAAAAAUUAAUUUUUUAGUUAAAAAGCUAAAAUAAUAUUAAAAGACGAGAAGACCCUAUAAAGUUUAAUAAUUUAUUUAUUUAAUAUUAAAUAUAUAAUUAAAUAUAAUAAUUAAUAUAAAUUAUUUUAUUGGGGUGAUAGAAAAAUUUAAUUAACUUUUUUUAAUAAUUAAACAUAAAUAAAUGAUUUAUUGAUCCAUUAUUAAUGAUUAAAAGAAAAAAUUACUUUAGGGAUAACAGCGUAAUAUUUUUUUUUAGUACAAAUAAAAAAAAAAGUUUGCGACCUCGAUUUUGGAUUAAGAUAAAAUUUAAAUGUUAAAGUUUAAAAUUUUGAUCUGUUCGAUCAUUAAAAUCUUACAUGAUCUGAGCU
RNAcentral lists this ribosomal RNA (535 nucleotides) under Melitaea didymoides. Its description in RNAcentral is "partial 16S ribosomal RNA". The stretch from base 398 to 535 matches the Rfam family "Archaeal large subunit ribosomal RNA", at positions 2542 to 2680 of the family's 2987-position model. The record is from RNAcentral. Lineage: Eukaryota; Metazoa; Arthropoda; Insecta; Lepidoptera; Nymphalidae.